GGUGAGGUAACGGCUCACCAAGGCCACGAUGACUAGGGGGUCUGAGAGGAUGAUCCCCCACACUGGUACUGAGACACGGACCAGACUCCUACGGGAGGCAGCAGUGAGGAAUAUUGGGCAAUGGACGCAAGUCUGACCCAGCCAUGCCGCGUGCAGGAUGACUGCCCUAUGGGUUGUAAACUGCUUUUGUUUGGGAAGAAACCCCCGAUCGUGAUCGGGGCUGACGGUACCAUACGAAUAAGCAUCGGCUAACUCCGUGCCAGCAGCCGCGGUAAUACGGAGGAUGCAAGCGUUAUCCGGAUUCAUUGGGUUUAAAGGGUGCGCAGGCGGAAUAUUAAGUCAGUGGUGAAAUCCUGCAGCUUAACUGUAGAACUGCCAUUGAUACUGAUAUUCUUGAAUAUAGUUGAGGUAGGCGGAAUGUGUAAUGUAGCGGUGAAAUGCUUAGAUAUUACACAGAACACCAAUUGCGAAGGCAGCUCACUAAACUAAUAUUGACGCUGAGGCACGAAAGCGUGGGUAGCAAACAGGAUUAGAUACCCUGGUAGUCCACGCUGUAAACUAUGAUCACUCGCUGUUGGCAAUACAUCGUCAGCGGCUGAGCGAAAGCAUUAAGUGAUCCACCUGGGGAGUACGGUCGCAAGAUUGAAACUCAAAGGAAUUGACGGGGGCCCGCACAAGCGGAGGAACAUGUGGUUUAAUUCGAUGAUACGCGAGGAACCUUACCUGGGCUUAAAUGCAGAGCGACGUCCGCCGAAAGGUGGAUUCCUUCGGGCGAUCUGCAAGGUGCUGCAUGGUUGUCGUCAGCUCGUGCCGUGAGGUGUCGGGUUAAGUCCCAUAACGAGCGCAACCCUUAUCGUUAGUUGCCAGCGGGUAAUGCCGGGGACUCUAACGAAACUGCCGGUGUACACCGUGAGGAAGGUGGGGAUGACGUCAAAUCAGCACGGCCCUUAUGUCCAGGGCUACACACGUGUUACAAUGGUCGGUACAGAGGGCAGCUACCACGCGAGUGGAUGCUAAUCUCGAAAACCGGUCUCAGUUCGGAUUGAAGUCUGCAACUCGACUUCAUGAAGCUGGAUUCGCUAGUAAUCGCGCAUCA
Molecule: ribosomal RNA, 1096 nt
Filed under: uncultured organism
Description: bacterial SSU rRNA
Rfam family: Bacterial small subunit ribosomal RNA
Source: RNAcentral